RNAcentral lists this ribosomal RNA (253 nucleotides) under uncultured bacterium. RNAcentral describes it as "partial 16S ribosomal RNA". It matches the Rfam family "Bacterial small subunit ribosomal RNA", at positions 524 to 776 of the family's 1533-position model. The record is from RNAcentral.
UACGUAGGAUCCAAGCGUUGUCCGGAUUUACUGGGUGUAAAGGGUGCGCAGGCGGACUUAUAAGUCAGAGGUGAAAUCUCACUGCUCAACAGUGAAACUGCCUUUGAUACUGUAGGUCUUGAAUUAGGGAGAGAUUCGUGGAAUUCCGAGUGUAGCAGUGAAAUGUGUAGAUAUUCGGAAGAACACCAGUGGCGAAGGCGACUUACUGGACACAUAUUGACGCUGAGGUGCGAAAGCGUGGGGAGCAAACAGG